This is a long non-coding RNA of Tachysurus fulvidraco (yellow catfish), 745 nucleotides long. RefSeq lists it as uncharacterized. NCBI's taxonomy places the organism in Eukaryota, Metazoa, Chordata, Actinopteri, Siluriformes, Bagridae. The transcript is spliced from 4 exons. The record is from RefSeq and is a predicted model, not a curated record.
GCCUCCUAUUGCUUCACAUAUAUCCACAUAUAAGCCCUAUACAUACAAGAUAUGUCUUCUAUAUAGCUAAUGGCAGGAUCAUUUUGUAGCUCAUAUCUCAUUUUGGCAACUGUGGAUCCAUACUAAUGCUUUUCUUGCGUCUUAUUUCCAUAACGUUAUUGUACUGGCAAGCUCAGAUCGACCGCUACAGCGUCGCGUAGUUGAUGACGUUAUCCGCAUGCGGCCCAGCGCACUGCGUAGUUGAUGACAUCACCCGAAUGCGUCCAGCGAGCUGUAUUUCAUUUUUGGCGCCGAAAGAUAGUGGCUGGGAGCACCGAGCCAGAAUUAUUCAAACUUGAAAAAACUCUCCAGAUUAAACUGAUCGAGAUGGAGAAAGAUGGCACACAAUGGCAAAUAAAACGUCCUCAACUCAAAGUACAGUGAGCAGCAGGGGCCGAAUGAGAAGGCUUCAACGUAAAAGGUUGACAAUAAAAAGGGAGGGGCUUCCAAAUACGAGCGCCAGGAGGGAGGGUCAUGACAGACUUUCAAAGAAUAAGAUGCUACGUUGAAGAAGUGGCGGCAGCCAGCCGAGGGCAGAUAGGCACAUCUAUUAAUUCGAAGCUCACGGAGCUGAGAAGAGCAAAAAGAUAAUUUUUUUUUUCUGUUCAGUUUUUUGUCUUAUUUUUGUUCUUGUACUAUUUGAUUGUUCUUGUAAAUACAUAAUGUACAGUACAUUUCUAUAUUUUGGACUUUUAUUUAUGGUGCC